AUAAAGACGAGGAAGAGAAGAGUAGAUGUAGGAUGUAGUUUCAGCGAGUUGGUGAUAGUGGGAGACCAAUACGAAGCCUAUAUUGAAGAACAUCUCGGAGUUGCUAACCGAAAUCUGGUAGGAAAGUAGGCUUAGACGGAGCCAAACCGUUAUCCUUUGGACAGUAUCGCAGUAUGUCACGUACUUCCGUACUGAUACAAGUGAGCCUUUGUGCUAAUGAGGGUGGUACCGCGGAAGCAAAGCCUUUCGUCCCUUUG
This 257-nucleotide non-coding RNA is filed under the name Thermotalea metallivorans. Its description in RNAcentral is "T-box sequence". It matches the Rfam family "T-box leader". From Rfam's summary of the family: Uncharged tRNA acts as the effector for transcription antitermination of genes in the T-box leader family. Lineage: Bacteria; Bacillati; Bacillota; Clostridia; Peptostreptococcales; Thermotaleaceae. The record is from RNAcentral.